UACGUAGGGGCUAGCGUUAUCCGGAAUUACUGGGCGUAAAGGGUGCGUAGGCGGUCUUUCAAGCCAGAAGUGAAAGGCUACGGCUCAACCGUAGUAAGCCUUUGGAACUGUAAGACUUGAGUGCAGGAGAGGAGAGUGGAAUUCCUAGUGUAGCGGUGAAAUGCGUAGAUAUUAGGAGGAACACCAGUAGCGAAGGCGGCUCUCUGGACUGUAACUGACGCUGAGGCACGAAAGCGUGGGGAGCAAACAGGAUUAGAUACCCUGGUAGUCCCU
This 273-nucleotide ribosomal RNA is filed under the name uncultured prokaryote. RNAcentral's name for it is "partial 16S ribosomal RNA". It matches the Rfam family "Bacterial small subunit ribosomal RNA", at positions 524 to 798 of the family's 1533-position model. The record is from RNAcentral.